GGGCGCCACAAGCGCGGGGCUGAGCACUGCCGGUGCAACAUGUGAGAUGGCGCUAGUGUCGUCUCGUCGAUUAGCGUUUCGCGGCAAGAUCUAGCGCGGGCGCUUUUUGUUGGCCGCUCUCUGUCCUCGCGAGAUCGAGACGAUGGAAACGGAACGUUACGCACGCUCAGUUACGUUUAUCGUGUCCCUGAACGAAACAGAACAGCGACUAGCCUCAACAGAAAGCCUCUACUUCUACUGCAGCCACUUCUACAGAUGCUGCUGCCAACAAGCGCCUACAGCUGGUCCUGCUUGAGCAACGGCAAGGACGCGCGCUUAAAUGUUACUCUGUUAGAAAGAAAAGGGUGGCAAACGACAGACGACAGUAAAAGUAGUUGCUGUCAUUACUGACACUGAGCGUCCCUGCCGAUGCUGUUAACUUUCACCAAUCGACAAUGCAUUUGAUUGGGUCGAUCUCCUCUACCGGAGUUCUUUACCGCUGUGUUCUUUCCUCGGACCGGCAGCUGUAGCGGCGGCUGCAGCUCGAGCAGUAGAGGCUUAAGAACUGUCAGUGGACACUGUUGUGUCUGAUAGCGUUCACUCUGGCAAAUCGUACAGAUAUCGGUGUCCUUCUCGGUUAUUGUCGAUGUGCUGAUCCAAUCCCAGACACGUGAACGUAGUCAGAUCGCCAACGGCGGCGGCAGCCAAUGAAACGACAGAUACGACACGGCGGCAGUAAAACAACGACAGCAGUAGCUGCAGGAGUUCUGAAACAUCAACAGUUUUGAUCAGCAGCCCUUACUGCCUACGAGCUCCCUCUCCAACUUUCUCGGGGAGGAGCAGCUCAGACACACACACAACAAGCAGUGUUGCUUCUGUUGUUGCAGAAGACGACAACAUCGACCAGAACGUAAGAACACGGAAAGAAGUCAAUCGAGAAACCAACAGACCGACCGACGUCUGAUCUAGCACAGGGCUGCUGUUGUUACAAGCGGAACUGCAACUAAUAACUGAAGUUCUCGGAACCAUUAAUAGCCGUGGUGGCACCAACCACUCAGGGUCUAUCUAAGGCAAGACAUUUCUGAUUGUCUCUGAUCGACAGUGAUUCGUGCGCUUCGAUUAACAUGCUCCAGUGUGUUUGCAUGCAGAAAACUUAACUAGCUGUCGAAGAAAGUUGCUAACAACAAAUGCAGCGAAAACUUCACAGUAGUUUAUAGAGCGGUUCGUUAUAUUUUCGUGUCCUUCGGGAGUGGUACAUAUGAAAUAUGGUAGGUGAAUCAACGGCAAAACUUCCUACCUUGUGUUAGAUGUGGUUGACACUGAAAGAUUGAUUUCGAUGAUAGAACUUCUUGGGCGGACUAAGCUGGGUCACAGCUUGUGUGUGAAGUUAUUGUUGACAUACUGUAGUAACAACAUGGAUACGAGUGAACCAACAAGAUGUUGAGUUCAAAUACGUAAAUAGUGGUGAUGAAAGCUAACACGGAAAAGUACGGAUUUCUUUCGCUUGGGCGUCAUUGAUUGUCAGCCUGCCAUCGGCGUAGCUAGUGCUUAGUCUAUCUGCUCGUUCGAUAUGCUUUAAUGCUGUGUCUUCUAAAGCAUCAAAAGAUAGAUAUCAUCGCGCGCUGUGAGAUAAGCAAGCAAACCUAGAUAACACGACAAAGACAGAUCAAAUCUUACAAAUGAAGAGAUAUCAUCUGAAUCGAUCUACCAUACCGUGCUGAUCGAUGCCUUUGAGUGUGUCCAACCCUGUGCUGUGCUCACCAUUUAAAUAAGUUCAUCCAAGUACGUACGUAUAUUCCGUGCCGUGUUUUGACACUUGAAACCUUUGGAUAGCGACAAUAAGAGUUGAUCUGUCAACAGAGAAUAAACCCUUUGGCGACUUUCAACCAGCGCCGAAAAAGAUCCUGUGAAGAGAAUCUUCAUGUGAACAGCGACCAAUUGCAACUUGAUGCUGCCACCCUAAUCGCUCAAGCUGUGACAGCGCCAGAUUUCGAGAAUGCCUCGAAAAGUUUAUGCAGUGUGCGAUGAUGGAGGCCGGUGAAACUAUUAGGACUCGAUGCGAACAAUGCUACCCUGCGCUCAUCAGGCGUUUUGUCGCACAAAGCGACUGCAGCCUAACGCAGAUGCGUCGUACUGCCUGUGAAGGUUUAUCAGAAACAUUAUCAGUGGAAAGCGGAAGUGUGAGACGAAAGGAGGUUAACCUUUGUGCCCUCCACGACUCCUUGAAUUGGUGGCGGAGUCUAAAGGUGCAUGUUUUUGAGACAACUAGCUCAUUAUACUGAUAACUCAUAAAAUAGGUGCUUUCAAACAUCGAUAUCGGCUUUGUAGCCGUCGUCGACCCUAUAUUAUGUUCGUAACUAAAUAUGUGCACAUACUGUUACUUUUCAUUACAGCGUUGAACACAAUUAUUUCGAUACAUUUGUCCAUUACUAUGAAAUUAAGGCUAAUAGCAUUAUAGCGGUAGUGCUGCUUUUAAAAUCUCCCGUUGCCAUAUAUUUACCAGUUUGAAUAAAAGUGUCAAAGUAAUAAUAAGAAUAGUGAAAAAGUGCUAUGUUCUACUACCGCUAGGUGCGAUUGAAUAACA
Varroa destructor (honeybee mite) is the source of this 2563-nucleotide long non-coding RNA. RefSeq lists it as uncharacterized. NCBI's taxonomy places the organism in Eukaryota, Metazoa, Arthropoda, Arachnida, Mesostigmata, Varroidae. The record is from RefSeq and is a predicted model, not a curated record.